GGACUCUGUAGUUGGGCACGACCCGACUACGCUGGUGGCGACCGUCGAGGCCGUGCAGGAGGCACGGUGCUCUAUGGUCGGCCACGCCGCAACCCCGACGCACUCGGGGUCCAUCGAGUCCGUGCGGGAGGCACGACUCACGAUUGUCAAGGGAGACCCGACAAGCAAGCCUGAUGGGAAGAGCACCAAGGACUCCACUACCCUGAGAGGAGCCACUCCGGUCAGUGUGGCGUCUGGCACAACGACCCCGGGAAGGGAGUUUCCGGGCAGUGCGGCGUCCGGCACGACGACCCCAGGAAGGGAGUUCCUGGGUAGUGCGAUGUCCAACAAGUCAUCCCCGGGAAGGGAGUUCCUGGGUAGCAUGACGUCCAACACGACGACCCCGGGAAAGGAGUUCCUGGGCAGUGUGACAUCAGGAACUACGACCCCAGGAACACUGACGCCCACGAGCGAGGUG
This 457-nucleotide ribosomal RNA is filed under the name Triticum aestivum (bread wheat). RNAcentral's name for it is "partial small subunit ribosomal RNA". Lineage: Eukaryota; Viridiplantae; Streptophyta; Magnoliopsida; Poales; Poaceae. The record is from RNAcentral.